Biomphalaria pfeifferi is the source of this 457-nucleotide non-coding RNA. Lineage: Eukaryota; Metazoa; Mollusca; Gastropoda; Planorbidae. The record is from the annotation of a GenBank genome assembly.
UUUUUUUGUUGUUUUUUUUGUAUUUAACCAUAGUCUAAGUUUAAGCUAAAUUUAGUUGCUUUUAUGGAUCCAUUGAAGAUGUUGCAUUUUUAUCCUGGAUCUAGUGAUUCUAGUUCCCAGUGGCAGGUUUUAAGUGGGAGUGAUUGUAAAUGUUUUGUUUUUUUUAAAUAAUUCUAUUCAUUAAAUAUUGAUUCUCAAGACACAAUGUACUGGGUAUACAUUUUUAAAUGACUCUGGGUUUAUUUUAGACUGUGCUCAGCUGCUAUUUAUGCUUUAAGUUGUUUUUUGAGACAAAUAUCCAACUGAAAGUGUGACUUUGUGUUUAGUUUAUUGCUUGCCUGUUUGUUACUAAGUACUUUAUGUGAUACUGUGAGAUAUUUUGCUGAAAUUUUGACUUUCCAAACAAACAAUGUGUUUUGUAUUACCAUGUCUAAUAAAAUGAUUUUUGAACAAAUAC